RNAcentral lists this ribosomal RNA (223 nucleotides) under uncultured bacterium. RNAcentral describes it as "partial 16S ribosomal RNA". It matches the Rfam family "Bacterial small subunit ribosomal RNA", at positions 15 to 229 of the family's 1533-position model. The record is from RNAcentral.
GAUCCUGGCUCAGGAUGAACGCUGGCGGCGUGCCUAACACAUUCAAGUCGAACGGAGCUGCGAGGGAGCUUGCUUUCGAACAGCUUAGUGGCGGACGGGUGAGUAAUGCAUGAGCAACCUGCCUUACAGAGAGGAAUAACACAGAGAAAUUUGUGCUAAUACCGCAUAUACCAUGGAUACGGCAUCGUGACUAUGGGAAAGGAGCAAUCCGCUGUAAGAUGGG